GGGGAAUUUUCCGCAAUGGGCGCAAGCCUGACGGAGCAACGCCGCGUGAGGGAGGAAUGCCUGUGGGUUGUAAACCUCUUUUCUCAGGGAAGAAGUUCUGACGGUACCUGAGGAAUCAGCAUCGGCUAACUCCGUGCCAGCAGCCGCGGUAAGACGGAGGAUGCAAGCGUUAUCCGGAAUUAUUGGGCGUAAAGCGUCCGUAGGCGGUUUGUAAAGUCUGCUGUCAAAGCUCACAGCUCAACUGUGAAUCGGCAGUGGAAACUAAUAGACUAGAGAGUGGUAGGGGUAGAGGGAAUUCCUAGUGUAGCGGUGAAAUGCGUAGAUAUUAGGAAGAACACCAGUGGCGAAGGCGCUCUACUGGGCCAUUACUGACGCUGAUGGACGAAAGCUAGGGGAGCGAAAGGGAUUAGAUACCCCUGUAGUC
RNAcentral lists this ribosomal RNA (424 nucleotides) under uncultured cyanobacterium. RNAcentral describes it as "bacterial SSU rRNA". It matches the Rfam family "Bacterial small subunit ribosomal RNA", at positions 356 to 795 of the family's 1533-position model. Lineage: Bacteria; Bacillati; Cyanobacteriota. The record is from RNAcentral.